Molecule: RNase P RNA, 392 nt
Filed under: Pseudooceanicola atlanticus
Lineage: Bacteria; Pseudomonadati; Pseudomonadota; Alphaproteobacteria; Rhodobacterales; Paracoccaceae
Description: Bacterial RNase P class A
Rfam family: Bacterial RNase P class A
About the family: Ribonuclease P (RNase P) is a ubiquitous endoribonuclease, found in archaea, bacteria and eukarya as well as chloroplasts and mitochondria. Its best characterised activity is the generation of mature 5'-ends of tRNAs by cleaving the 5'-leader elements of precursor-tRNAs.
Source: Rfam by way of RNAcentral
ACGGAGGGCCGGAUGGCCGCGGGCCGCAAGGUCCGAGGAAAGUCCGGACUCCACAAGGCAACGGUGCCGGGUAACGCCCGGCGGGGGCAACCCCAGGGACAGCGCCACAGAGAACAGACCGCCGCGGGAUGCCGCGGCAAGGGUGAAACGGUGCGGUAAGAGCGCACCGCGGGACGGGCAACCGGACCGGCAUGGCAAGCCCCACCGGGAGCAAUGCCGAAUAGGAACCUCACGCGGGGCCGGUCGCGCAAGCGAUACCGCCGCAGGCCGCCUUGGCCCGGAGGUUCGGGUUGGCAGCUUGAGGCGCCGGGCAACCGUGCGUCCAGAGGAAUGGUCAUCGAACCGGGGGCAACCCCGGGGAACAGAAUCCGGCUUACAGGCCCUCCGUGCGU